GUGGGGAAUCUUGCACAAUGGGGGAAACCCUGAUGCAGCGACGCCGCGUGAACGAUGAAGCCCUUCGGGGUGUAAAGUUCUUUCGACGGGGACGAUAAUGACGGUACCCGGAGAAGAAGCUGCGGCUAACUACGUGCCAGCAGCCGCGGUAAUACGUAGGCAGCAAGCGUUGUUCGGAAUUACUGGGCGUAAAGAGUGCGUAGGCGGUUGGCUAAGUUUGGUGUGAAAUCUCCCGGCUCAACUGGGAGGGUGCGCCGAAAACUGGCCGGCUAGAGUGUGGGAGAGGUAAGUGGAAUUCCUGGUGUAGCGGUGAAAUGCGUAGAUAUCAGGAGGAACACCUGCGGUGUAGACGGCUUACUGGACCAUGACUGACGCUGAGGCACGAAAGCGUGGGGAGCAAACAGGAUUAGAUACCCCAGUAGUCC
RNAcentral lists this ribosomal RNA (425 nucleotides) under uncultured bacterium. RNAcentral's name for it is "bacterial SSU rRNA". It matches the Rfam family "Bacterial small subunit ribosomal RNA", at positions 354 to 796 of the family's 1533-position model. The record is from RNAcentral.